Molecule: long non-coding RNA, 528 nt
Filed under: Rattus norvegicus (Norway rat)
Lineage: Eukaryota; Metazoa; Chordata; Mammalia; Rodentia; Muridae
Description: long non-coding RNA NONRATT004305
Source: RNAcentral
UUUUUUUUUUUUAAACAUUUUAUUUAUUUAUUAUAUAUUAUGAUUACACUGUCGCUAUCUUCAGACACACCAGAAGAGGGCAUCAGACUCAUUUCAGAUGGUUGUGAGCCACCAUGUGGUUGCUGGGAUUUGAACUCAGGACCUUGGGAAGAGCAGUCGGUGCUCUUAACCACUGAGCCAUCUCUCCAGCCCCAUACUAUCAGUACUUAAGAGACUAAAACUGGGAGAAUUGACACCAGCCUGGGCUCCCCCCUUCCCCUUAUUUUUUAUUAAUGUGUAUGAGGGUUUUGCCUAAAUGUAUGUGCCGUGCCAUGCAUUUUUUUCGAGACAGAGUUUCUCUGUGUAGUCCUCCUGACUGUUCCUGAACUCACUUGUAGACUAGGCUGCCCUCAGAGAGAUCCCUUGCCUCUUUAAUCCCAAAUGGCUGGGAUUAAAGUGUGUCACCACAAGGCUGUAGCCAUUGAUCUCUCCAGUUCUCAUCUCGAUUUCUCAGACCUUGUUUCAAAGAUUUAAAAAAAAAAAAAAAAA